Molecule: unclassified non-coding RNA, 253 nt
Filed under: uncultured Cytophagales bacterium
Lineage: Bacteria; Pseudomonadati; Bacteroidota; Sphingobacteriia; Sphingobacteriales
Description: contains 16S-23S intergenic spacer region
Rfam family: Bacterial small subunit ribosomal RNA
Source: RNAcentral
UACGGAGGGUGCAGGCGUUGUCCGGAUUUAUUGGGUUUAAAGGGUCCGUAGGCGGGUCGAUAAGUCAGUGGUGAAAGCCCACAGCUCAACUGUGGAACUGCCAUUGAUACUGGUUAUCUUGAGUAUAGAUGAGGCAGGCGGAAUUUACGAUGUAGCGGUGAAAUGCAUAGAUAUCGUAAAGAACACCUAUAGCGAAGGCAGCUUGCUAAACUAUAACUGACGCUGAGGCACGAAAGCAUGGGUAGCGAGCAGG